AGGGAUGUAGCUUGGUGGUAGAGCACCUGCUUUGCAUCCAGAAGGUCUCCGGUUCAAUCCCCAGCAACUCCA
This is a non-coding RNA of Podarcis lilfordi (Lilford's wall lizard), 72 nucleotides long. NCBI's taxonomy places the organism in Eukaryota, Metazoa, Chordata, Lepidosauria, Squamata, Lacertidae. The record is from the annotation of a GenBank genome assembly.